This 72-nucleotide transfer RNA is filed under the name Marmota monax (woodchuck). Its description in RNAcentral is "tRNA.Thr". The record is from RNAcentral. Lineage: Eukaryota; Metazoa; Chordata; Mammalia; Rodentia; Sciuridae.
CCAAGAUGUAGCUCAGUGGUAGAACAUUUGCCUAGUGUGCACAGGCCCUGGAUUCAAUUCCUAGCACUAGGG